RNAcentral lists this ribosomal RNA (497 nucleotides) under uncultured bacterium. RNAcentral describes it as "partial 16S ribosomal RNA". It matches the Rfam family "Bacterial small subunit ribosomal RNA", at positions 28 to 507 of the family's 1533-position model. The record is from RNAcentral.
GAUGAACGCUGGCGGCGUGCCUAAUACAUGCAAGUCGAGCGAACGGACGAGAAGCUUGCUUCUCUGAUGUUAGCGGCGGACGGGUGAGUAACACGUGGAUAACCUACCUAUAAGACUGGGAUAACUUCGGGAAACCGUAGCUAAUACCGGAUAAUAUUUUGAACCGCAUGGUUCAAAAGUGAAAGACGGUCUUGCUGUCACUUAUAGAUGGAUCCGCGCUGCAUUAGCUAGUUGGUAAGGUAACGGCUUACCAAGGCAACGAUGCAUAGCCGGCCUGAGAGGGUGAUCGGCCACACUGGAACUGAGACACGGUCCAGACUCCUACGGGAGGCAGCAGUAGGGAAUCUUCCGCAAUGGGCGAAAGCCUGACGGAGCAACGCCGCGUGAGUGAUGAAGGUCUUCGGAUCGUAAAACCCUGUUAUUAGGGAAGAACAUAUGUGUAAGUAACUGUGCACAUCUUGACGGUACCUAAUCAGAAAGCCACGGCUAACUACGUG